Nannospalax galili (Upper Galilee mountains blind mole rat) is the source of this 1102-nucleotide RNA transcript. It is a transcript of the gene named cyclin-I-like, with no coding region annotated. The record is from RefSeq and is a predicted model, not a curated record. NCBI's taxonomy places the organism in Eukaryota, Metazoa, Chordata, Mammalia, Rodentia, Spalacidae. The transcript has 2 exons.
AUGAGCCAGCGCCACCACUGUGAGGCCUACAGCUCUGCCUGGGAGGAGGAGGAGGAGGAGGAAGAGGAAGAGAAGAAUGUUUCUCCAUCCCAGAGAGAUGAAGUAAUUCAGAGGUUGGCCAAACUCAAGUACCAGUUCAGCCUUCACCCAGAAACAUUUGCUCUGGCUAUCAGUCUUUUGGACAGGUUUUUAGCUACUGUAAAGGAUCACCCAAAAUAUUUGAACUGCUUUGCAAUUAGCUGGUUGUUUUUGUUUUUUAGCUGCUAAGACUGUUGAAGAAGAUGAGAAAAUUCCAGUCCUAAAGGUAUUGGUAAGAGACAGUUUCUGUGGAUGUUCCUCAUCUGAAAUUUUGAGAAUGGAGAGAAUUAUUCUGGAUAAGUUGAAUUGGGAUCUUCACACGGCCACACCAUUGGAUUUUCUUCACAUUUUCCAAGCCAUUGCAGUGUCAAAUGAGGCCUCAGUUAUUUUUCAGUUUGCCCAAACAGAGCCCAUCCCAGCGUCCGGCAGUCCUGACCAAGCAGUUGCUGUACUGCAUGGCCUGCAGCCACUUCUACAGUUCAAAGGACCCAUGCUUGCCCUGGCCAUGGUUAGUCUGGAAAUGGAGAAACUCUUUCCUGAUUGGCUUCCUCUUACAAUUGAGCUGCUUCAGAAAGCACAGAUGGAUAGCUUCCAGUUGAUCCACUGUCAGGAGCUCGUGGCACACCCCCCCUCUGCUCUGCAACCUUCCCUGCCUCUAAAUUCCGUUUAUGUCUACCGUCCCCUCAAGCACACCCUGGUAACCUGUGACAAAGGAGCGUUCAAAUUACAUCCCUCCUCUGUCUCAGACCCAGAUUUCUCCAAGGACAACAGCAAGCCAGAAGUGCCAGUCAGAGGAACAACAGCCUUCUACCAUCAUCUCCCAGCUUCCAGUGGGUGCAAGCAUACCUCUGCUAAAUGCAAAGUGGAAGAAACGGAAGUGGAUGACUUCUACGAUGGAAUCAAGUGGCUCUAUAAUGAAGAUAAUGCUUCAGAAAAUGUGGGUUCUGUGUGUGACACUGAUCUGCCAAGGCAAGAGGGGAAUGCUUCCCCGUGUCCACCACUGCAGCUUGUUUCUGUCAUGUAA